Molecule: long non-coding RNA, 234 nt
Filed under: Nicotiana benthamiana
Lineage: Eukaryota; Viridiplantae; Streptophyta; Magnoliopsida; Solanales; Solanaceae
Description: long non-coding RNA (NBEN_LNC033687)
Source: RNAcentral
UGUAUAGUUAUAUAUAAAAUUUGAGAAAAUGUAUAAAAAUUUAUAAAAGCACCCAUUAAUUUUAUGUAAAAAAAAAUUCAGCACCCACAAACUUGAAUUCCUAGAUCCGCCACUGAUCAUGAAGGAAUACUCUAGGUGUUGACACGAAGUGCCAAACUCCAUACACAAAUUGUAACAUCUCCUUGAAACUAGGCAUACCUCCUAAUACAUAGCCAAUUAAAGCAUUUCUCCAGU